Molecule: RNA transcript, 761 nt
Organism: Venturia canescens
Lineage: Eukaryota; Metazoa; Arthropoda; Insecta; Hymenoptera; Ichneumonidae
Gene: ND-B14.5B
Gene name: NADH dehydrogenase (ubiquinone) B14.5 B subunit
Exons: 4
Source: RefSeq, a predicted model, not a curated record
AUAUAAUUUGCGCGAGUAUGACACCGUGUAUGAGUACAUGACCGUGGACAUUGUGACCAUAUUUUUGUGAAAAGUGUUUUUAAUCGGUGUACACUUUUCACGAUGUCAGGGGAAACGCACGAUGCUUCUUGGGCUCUUAAAUUACUUGAACGUGAACCAGAUUACGAACAAAAUUAUGUAGCAAAAAAUUGGGCUUAUAUAUGUGCGACAGCCUUCGGAGUUGCUGUACCCAUUGGUCUCAAUAUUUGGACCAGAAGACCUCUUUGGGCUGGUAUUCAAUAUCACUUCCUUUUCGGAGUCCUAGGAUUUGGAGCUGGACAUUUAUUAACAGAACGGGAUAAGUAUGUCCUUGCUCGUAGAGAUGCUAUUCUCCGAGACUAUAUCAGACUCCAUCCCGAAGAUUUUCCUGCCCCAGAGAGGAAAAAGAUUGGCGAACUCCUUGAGGACUGGGUGCCAGUUCGUUAAGGGUUUGAUUAUUACUACUUUUUAGAAUUACUAUAAAAACUUCUCGAGAGCUUGGGCCUGAGCAAAAGAGAAAUACCUAGGAGCGAAUCCCUGUACAUGCAUUCUAUUGAUGGCUGUUUUCAACAAUUUGAUGUUGCUUUUUUUUUCACGGGUCAAACAAUUCGCUCACUUUCGAAGAAAAUCGUAGAGAUAAAUAAACAAGAUUGAACAAAAGGUAGAAACAAACAACGCAUUCAUUCACACCACAAAUGUUCGAGAAUUCAAGUCACAAUCACAAAUAAAUGGCUUUUACACGA